RNAcentral lists this long non-coding RNA (612 nucleotides) under Ananas comosus (pineapple). RNAcentral's name for it is "long non-coding RNA (ACOM_LNC024220)". Lineage: Eukaryota; Viridiplantae; Streptophyta; Magnoliopsida; Poales; Bromeliaceae. The record is from RNAcentral.
AACUAUUAUGAAUCCCCGUGGGAUUCAAACUUUCUCCUUAUUUUAGGAAAAAAGUGGGACCCACCUCUUCUGUAAAUGUACAGAAUAUAUUUCUUUAGUGGGGUCCACUAAAUAAUUAUGUUUAGCAGAAUAGGAAACGUUUACACAUAAUUAAAAAUAAUUAAAAAUAAUUAAUGUUUAAUGGAAUAAGAAAUAUUUGGAAGUUAAUUGACGAGCCCAUAAAUGCUAUGGUGUUUCUAUAUAUGUAACGUUUCACAUAAACACAAAUUUUUUUAGAAAAAAUAUACAAUAAUACAUGUCCAAUAAUUUAGGUAUUUGUUCUUAGGUGUCUUAAAAAAUUAAACUCUAUUAUGAAUCCCCGUGGGAUUCAAGCUUUCUCCUUAUUUUAGGAAAAAAGUGGGACCCACCUCUUCUGUAAAUGUACAGAAUAUAUUUCUUUAGUGGGGUCCACUAAAUAAUUAUGUUUAGCAGAAUAGGAAACGUUUACACAUAAUUAAAAAUAAUUAAAAAUAAUUAAUGUUUAAUGGAAUAAGAAAUAUUUGGAAGUUAAUUGACGAGCCCAUAAAUGCUAUGGUGUUUAUAUAUAUGUAACGUUUCACAUAAACACAAAUU